This 205-nucleotide unclassified non-coding RNA is filed under the name uncultured Piriformospora. RNAcentral describes it as "sequence contains ITS1". Lineage: Eukaryota; Fungi; Basidiomycota; Agaricomycetes; Sebacinales; Sebacinaceae. The record is from RNAcentral.
ACGAAUUUCAAUUCGGUCGUCUGUGCUGGUGGCAACACAUGUGCACGUCGAUCGUAAUUCCAUUCUCCUUUCAAUCGUCCAAGUGUGUUCAGUCGACCUCUAGGUCGAAGAAGCGUGGCUGUCAGGCUCGUUUCGUUUGAAUGCACAUUGGUUAUUUCACCCACUCUGGGUACUUGAAACAAAGAAAUAUAUUGUAUAAACUAUA